UACGUAGGGCGCAAGCGUUGUCCGGAAUUAUUGGGCGUAAAGAGCUCGUAGGCGGCUUGUCACGUCGGGUGUGAAAGCCCGGGGCUUAACCCCGGGUCUGCAUUCGAUACGGGCUAGCUAGAGUGUGGUAGGGGAGAUCGGAAUUCCUGGUGUAGCGGUGAAAUGCGCAGAUAUCAGGAGGAACACCGGUGGCGAAGGCGGAUCUCUGGGCCAUUACUGACGCUGAGACGCGAAAGCUAGGGGAGCGAACAGG
This 253-nucleotide ribosomal RNA is filed under the name uncultured bacterium. RNAcentral describes it as "partial 16S ribosomal RNA". It matches the Rfam family "Bacterial small subunit ribosomal RNA", at positions 524 to 776 of the family's 1533-position model. The record is from RNAcentral.